Molecule: non-coding RNA, 296 nt
Organism: Odocoileus virginianus texanus
Lineage: Eukaryota; Metazoa; Chordata; Mammalia; Artiodactyla; Cervidae
Source: RefSeq, a predicted model, not a curated record
CAGAAUUUCACUGUGUAACUCGGGGGUGGUGUGUCCUCAGGACUUGGAGAUUUGGAAGGUGGAAGUGAACAGCAGCCACGGAAGGUGCUGGGAUGUGACAAGAAAGGCCAAGUUCCUGCUUCUGGUCAUGCCUGUGAUUCUCUUGGAGCCAGGAUGGUUCCCGGCCUCUCUCACCCCUUCCAGCAUGGCCUGACCUCUAGAUUUCCAACCCAGACUUUCCCCUGAAAGCCCCUUACACUGUCACCUCCUGCGUCCUGGCUCCGUGGUGAAGGGACAGAAUUAGCGCUCACCUCACG